ACCCAUGACCAAAUCAUCCAGAAUGCACCCGAUGUUGUCGGAUCUCGGAAGUUAAGUAGGGUUUAUUCUGGUUAGUGCUUGGAUGGGCGACCGCUAUGCACAAACAGGUUGUUGUAAGGG
RNAcentral lists this ribosomal RNA (120 nucleotides) under Petromyzon marinus (sea lamprey). Lineage: Eukaryota; Metazoa; Chordata; Hyperoartia; Petromyzontiformes; Petromyzontidae. The record is from RNAcentral.